Long non-coding RNA from Monodelphis domestica (gray short-tailed opossum), 1705 nucleotides. NCBI's taxonomy places the organism in Eukaryota, Metazoa, Chordata, Mammalia, Didelphimorphia, Didelphidae. The record is from Ensembl.
ACUCUACCUACUAAGCUACCUAGCUGCACAUAUGACAUAUAUAAAUAUAAGUUUGAUAUAAGUAAAAAUGUGAUAAGGAUAGACAGAGCAUUCUUGGAAAAUUUGGGGAAGGAGAAAUGACUUUUUUUUAAACCCUUACCUUUUCGCUUAGAAUUGAUAGUGAGUCUGAGUUCCAAGGCAUAAAAGCAACAAAGUCUAGGCAAUUGGGAUUAUGUGACUUGCCUGGGGUCACAACAACUAGGUAAUUUAUGAGGCUAGAUUUAAACUCAGGACCUCUGGUCUCCAGACCCUAUCCACUGAGCCACCUAGUUUCCCCUGAGAUGACUUUUAACUGAGGUAUCAGAGCCUUCAAACUUUUAUAGAGGGAGGGACACCUGAACUGAGCUUUAAAGGAAACAGAUUUUUCAAUAGAACAACAAAAAAUUGAGGGGGGUAAGGAGGGAAAAACGAAAGGGAACUCAGAUUUUUUCGAUCACUUUUCCAGUUCCCUCUGAUGGUAAUACCCAUCCUCAACUAGGUAUGAUGAUGUCAUCAGCUCCCUCAUAAUGGCUAGGUGGGGAGAGGGAAGGAUGAUCUAACAGAGGGAAUUAUUGUGGGCAGAGCCUCCAAAAGUUAAGGCACCCAGGAAUACAGGCACAGACAACAGGAGGCACCAGCCCUGUUACUUUGCCCCACAGAAAGGCCAACCUCAGAGUGGAGCCAACACGGAGGAGAGAGGGGCUGGGACUAAGCAUAUUCCGAAGCUGGGGGCAGUGUGCCAAAUACCAAUGGAAAAAACCUCGGGUCCCUCAGUUUCUGAGCGGCUCCGGAGUCACCACUCUGACAGAAGAGGAGGGAAUCACACAAGCAGUGGAAGGCAUGCCAACAAAGACUUCAGAAACCAUCAGAGCCAGAGGAAAUAUCGGGCAGGAACUUCAUAUUCCCAUCUACCUCAGGAAAGACAUGCUAUAAACACCAGAUAUGGGGACCAUGCUAAAUCCAACCAAUCACAUCGAACUGAACAGGAGCUGGUAGGACCCUUGCCUGUAAAGAGAUCUCGACAUUUUUGCCCCCGAGCAUCAAAGAAAAGCAAGGGCCGCACUUCGCACAAGAGAAAUUCCAAGAAAAAGUCAAGAGGGAGAGGCCGAAAAUAGGCAUACAGGAAAGGAGACCACAUGAAGAUUCACCAGUUAGGGGCUCCUGAGUCUCCUGACCCUCUUCUAUCUCCAUCAGUAAACAAAAAGACUGUGGGUCUGGGGAAAAGUUUGUUUUGACAUAAUUAAAAAGACCCCAAAUCUUUUCCCUCAUUUUUAAAAAAUCUGUGCCAACUUUUUUUCUAAAAUAUUCCCUAAGUUUCUCCCAUCCAAGACCUUACCCCUUGCUGAAAAUAGGAUAAGAAAUUGCUAACAGAGUCUUACAUGAAGGAAGCCAAGAAGGGGAGUAAAGGCAGGGAUUUUUCUGAACUCUCCCAAAUUCUCUUCCAAACAAUAUUAAGGUAAGACCUCAAAUUGAAUUCUGGACUGGCAGAACAAAAAGUCUGGGUGAAAUAAUUUUCUAUCUUACAACAACUUAGGAAGUGUGUCAAGGAAGUUCAUUCCCUCCCCCUCCUGAGUUAACUUGACCUGUCUGCCAAACAUUCCUGACAUAACACAGUAGAGCCAGGUUUGCAUCCCUAUAUGUGCUGUACAUGAAUAAAAGUCAAGGUUUGGGGGCUUGAGAGAGGGGA